This is an RNA transcript of Ailuropoda melanoleuca (giant panda), 940 nucleotides long. It is a transcript of the gene named olfactory receptor 4C45, with no coding region annotated. The transcript has a single exon. Lineage: Eukaryota; Metazoa; Chordata; Mammalia; Carnivora; Ursidae. The record is from RefSeq and is a predicted model, not a curated record.
AGAAUGAGCAAUGUAACAGAAUUCAUUCUGCUGGGCCUGACCCAGAAUCCAGAACUGCAGAAAUUCUUAUUUGCUGUGUUUUUAAUUGCAUACUUGAUCACACUGGCAGGUAACGUGCUCAUCUCGGUCACCAUCUUCAUCAGCCCAGCCCUGGGUUCUCCCAUGUACUUUUUUCUGUCCUACUUGUCCAUUUUAGAUGCUUUCUACUCUUCUUCCAUAGUACCCAAAAUGAUCUUUGACUUGAUCUCUGACAAGAACACCGUAUCCUUCAAUGGCUGCAUGACUCAACUCUUUGCUGAACAUUUCUUUGCUGGAGCUGAGAUCAUUGUAUUAGUUGCCAUGGCCUAUGACCGCUAUGUAGCCAUCUGUAAGCCAUUGCAUUACAUUACUAUCAUGAGCCGACCUGUCUGUGCUUUCUUGCUGGGAAUGGCUGGGAUUUUAGGCUUUCUUCAUGGAGGGAUCCAGGUUUUGUUCAUGGUGCAGUUACCAUUCUGUGGCCCCAAUGUCAUUGACCAUUUUAUGUGUGAUUUAAUACCUCUCCUGGAACUAGCCUGUACAGACACUCAUAUUUUGGGGCCCUUGAUUGUUGCCAACAGUGGAUCAGUGUGUUUUCUCAUUUUUUCUAUGUUGGUUGCUUCUUAUAUUGUCNGCUUCUUACAUUGUCAUCCUGUGCUCUCUGAGGACCCAUAGCUCUGAAGGGCGUCGCAAAGCCCUGUCUACCUGUGCUUCUCAUGUUACUGUUGUCAUCUUAUUCUUUGUACCUUGUUCAUUUCUGUACCUGAGACCCAUGACCUCCUUCCCUGCUGACAAAGCUGUGACUGUGUUUUAUACCAUAGUAACUCCUAUGUUGAACCCUUUAAUUUACACCCUCAGAAAUGCAGAAGUGAAAAAUGUCAUGAAGAAACUCCAGGGGCAAAUAAUGAAAAUUGGUGAUAAAUGA